Molecule: ribosomal RNA, 237 nt
Filed under: uncultured Actinomycetales bacterium
Lineage: Bacteria; Bacillati; Actinomycetota; Actinomycetes; Actinomycetales
Description: partial 16S ribosomal RNA
Rfam family: Bacterial small subunit ribosomal RNA
Source: RNAcentral
UGGCGAACGGGUGAGUAACACGUGAGUAACCUGCCCUUGACUUUGGGAUAACUUCAGGAAACUGGGGCUGAUACCGGAUAGGAGCUCCUGCUGCAUGGUGGGGGUUGGAAAGUUUCGGCGGUUGGGGAUGGACUCGCGGCUUAUCAGCUUGUUGGUGGGGUAGUGGCUUACCAAGGCUUUGACGGGUAGCCGGCCUGAGAGGGUGACCGGCCACAUUGGGACUGAGAUACGGCCCAG